GACGAACCGAGCGAACGUUGUUCGGAAUCACUGGGCUUAAAGGGCGCGUAGGCGGGUGCUCAAGUCCGGGGUGAAAUCCUCCAGCUCAACUGGAGAACUGCCUCGGAUACUGGGUGUCUCGAGGGUGGUAGGGGUAUGCGGAACUAUCGGUGGAGCGGUGAAAUGCGUUGAUAUCGAUAGGAACCCCGGUGGCGAAGGCGGCAUACUGGACCACAUCUGACGCUGAGGCGCGAAAGCCAGGGGAGCAAACGGG
This 253-nucleotide ribosomal RNA is filed under the name uncultured bacterium. RNAcentral describes it as "partial 16S ribosomal RNA". It matches the Rfam family "Bacterial small subunit ribosomal RNA", at positions 524 to 776 of the family's 1533-position model. The record is from RNAcentral.